GACGAACGCUGGCGGCGUGCUUAACACAUGCAAGUCGAACGGUAAGGCCCUUCAGGGUACACGAGUGGCGAACGGGUGAGUAACACGUGGGUGAUCUGCCCUGCACUUCGGGAUAAGCCUGGGAAACUGGGUCUAAUACCGGAUAGGACUCCUGGCUUCAUGGUUGGGGGUGGAAAGCUUUUGCGGUGUGGGAUGGGCCCGCGGCCUAUCAGCUUGUUGGUGGGGUAAUGGCCUACCAAGGCGACGACGGGUAGCCGGCCUGAGAGGGUGACCGGUCAAAAUGGGACUGAGCUACGGCCCAGACUACUACGGGAGGCAGCAGUGGGAAAUAUUGCACAAUGGGCGCAAGCCUGAUGCAGCGACGCCGCGUGAGGGAUGACGGCCUUCGGGUUGUAAACCUCUUUCAGCUAUGACGAAGCGCAAGUGACGGUAGUAGCAGAAGAAGGACCGGCCAACUACGUGCCAGCCGCCGCAGUAA
This 478-nucleotide ribosomal RNA is filed under the name uncultured bacterium. RNAcentral describes it as "partial 16S ribosomal RNA". It matches the Rfam family "Bacterial small subunit ribosomal RNA", at positions 28 to 523 of the family's 1533-position model. The record is from RNAcentral.